This 252-nucleotide ribosomal RNA is filed under the name uncultured bacterium. RNAcentral's name for it is "partial 16S ribosomal RNA". It matches the Rfam family "Bacterial small subunit ribosomal RNA", at positions 524 to 776 of the family's 1533-position model. The record is from RNAcentral.
UACGUAGGGGGCAAGCGUUGUCCGGAAUCAUUGGGCGUAAAGAGCGUGUAGGCGGCCAGAAAAGUCCGCUGUGAAAACUCGAGGCUCAACUUCGAGCUGUCGGUGGAAACUUCUGGCUAGAGUCCGGAAGAGGAGAAUGGAAUUCCCGGUGUAGCGGUGAAAUGCGUAGAUAUUGGGAGGAACACCAGUGGCGAAGGCGGCUCACUGGACCGGAACUGACGCUGAGGCGCGAAAGCGUGGGGAGCAAACGGG